UGGGUCUAAUACCGGAUAGGACUCCGGGCUUCAUGGGGUGGGGUGGAAAGCUUUUGCGGUGUGGGAUGGGCCCGCGGCCUAUCAGCUUGUUGGUGGGGUAAUGGCCUACCAAGGCGACGACGGGUAGCCGGCCUGAGAGGGUGACCGGCCACACUGGGACUGAGAUACGGCCCAGACUCCUACGGGAGGCAGCAGUGGGGAAUAUUGCACAAUGGGCGCAAGCCUGAUGCAGCGACGCCGCGUGAGGGAUGACGGCCUUCGGGUUGUAAACCUCUUUCAGCACAGACGAAGCGCAAGUGACGGUAUGUGCAGAAGAAGGACCGGCCAACUACGUGCCAGCAGCCGCGGUAAUACGUAGGGUCCGAGCGUUGUCCGGAAUUACUGGGCGUAAAGAGCUCGUAGGUGGUUUGUCGCGUUGUUCGUGAAAACUCACAGCUUAACUGUGGGCGUGCGGGCGAUACGGGCAGACUGGAGUACUGCAGGGGAGACUGGAAUUCCUGGUGUAGCGGUGGAAUGCGCAGAUAUCAGGAGGAACACCGGUGGC
RNAcentral lists this ribosomal RNA (544 nucleotides) under Mycobacterium sp. Its description in RNAcentral is "bacterial SSU rRNA". It matches the Rfam family "Bacterial small subunit ribosomal RNA", at positions 158 to 716 of the family's 1533-position model. Lineage: Bacteria; Bacillati; Actinomycetota; Actinomycetes; Mycobacteriales; Mycobacteriaceae. The record is from RNAcentral.